UUGGAGGCAGCAGUGGGGAAUCUUGCGCAAUGGGCGAAAGCCUGACGCAGCAACGCCGCGUGGAGGAUGAAGGCCCUUGGGUUGUAAACUCCUGUCGGCUGGGAAGAAAUCGUUCGGGGCCAAUACCCCCGGACGUUGACUGUACCAGCAAAGGAAGCCCCGGCUAACUCUGUGCCAGCAGCCGCGGUAAUACAGAGGGGGCCAGCGUUAUUCGGAAUUAUUGGGCGUAAAGGGCGCGUAGGCGGCCAUGCGUGUCUUCCGUGAAAUCCCUCGGCUUAACUGAGGACGUGCGGAAGAAACUGCAAGGCUCGAGUCCGGGAGAGGGGGGUGGAAUUCCCAGUGUAGCGGUGAAAUGCGUAGAUAUUGGGAGGAACACCGGUGGCGAAGGCGGCCCCCUGGACCGGUACUGACGCUGAGGCGCGAAAGCGUGGGGAGCAAUCGGGAUUAGAUACCCUAGUAU
Molecule: ribosomal RNA, 460 nt
Filed under: uncultured bacterium
Lineage: Bacteria
Description: bacterial SSU rRNA
Rfam family: Bacterial small subunit ribosomal RNA
Source: RNAcentral